CGUGUAGGCGGUCAAGCAAGUGGAAUGUGAAAUCCCUCGGCUCACCCGAGGACCUGCAUUCCAAACUGCUUAGCUUGAGUAUGGGAGAGGAUGAGGGAAUUCCUGGUGUAGCGGUGAAAUGCGUAGAUAUUAGGAGGAACACCGGUGGCGAAGGCGCUCAUCUGGCCCAAUACUGACGCUGAGGCGCGAAAGCUAGGGGAGCAAACG
RNAcentral lists this ribosomal RNA (207 nucleotides) under uncultured bacterium. RNAcentral describes it as "partial 16S ribosomal RNA". It matches the Rfam family "Bacterial small subunit ribosomal RNA", at positions 568 to 774 of the family's 1533-position model. The record is from RNAcentral.